RNAcentral lists this ribosomal RNA (324 nucleotides) under Cercomonadidae sp. RNAcentral's name for it is "SSU rRNA". The stretch from base 106 to 324 matches the Rfam family "Eukaryotic small subunit ribosomal RNA", at positions 737 to 955 of the family's 1831-position model. Lineage: Eukaryota; Cercozoa; Cercomonadida; Cercomonadidae. The record is from RNAcentral.
GAUUUCUGGUUCGGCGCACUUGGCCCGUCUUGGUUACAAGAUCGCGUGCCGGUGUGCGCCAUCCAUCCUUCGGAAAAACGUAUCUACCCUUCACUGGGCCGGAUACGCUAUUCCGAUCUUUUACUUUGAAAAAAUUAGAGUGUUUAAAGCAGGCUUAUUGCGUAUGAAUACAUUAGCAUGGAAUAAUAAUUUAGGACUUUGGUCUUAUUUUGUUGGUUUCUAGGACUAAAGUAAUGAUUGAUAGGGACAGUUGGGGGUGCUAGUAUUCAGCGGCCAGAGGUGAAAUUCUUGGAUUCGCUGAAGACUAACUUAUGCGAAAGCAUU